CUGCAGCCAAUUAAGCCGACUGAGUUCCUUUCCUCAUGGGGGCCCAGUGUGCAAUGGCUGCAAACAGCAGCUUGCCUGGUAGUGAUGCAGCCUGUUUGUUGUAUGGGUUGCUCUAAGGGACAUUGGAGACAGAC
RNAcentral lists this small nucleolar RNA (134 nucleotides) under Piliocolobus tephrosceles (Ugandan red Colobus). RNAcentral describes it as "Small nucleolar RNA SNORA70 (ENSPTEG00000030960.1)". It matches the Rfam family "Small nucleolar RNA SNORA70". From Rfam's summary of the family: snoRNA U70 seems to be exclusive to mammals and is a member of the H/ACA class of snoRNA which contain H (ANANNA) and ACA box motifs. H/ACA box snoRNAs are involved in the conversion of uridines to pseudouridines (5-ribosyluracil) a constituent of structural RNAs (transfer, ribosomal, small nuclear, and small nucleolar). Lineage: Eukaryota; Metazoa; Chordata; Mammalia; Primates; Cercopithecidae. The record is from Rfam by way of RNAcentral.